This 75-nucleotide transfer RNA is filed under the name Candidatus Walczuchella monophlebidarum. Its description in RNAcentral is "tRNA-Val (GAC) (tRNA-Val-GAC-1-1)". It matches the Rfam family "tRNA". Rfam says of the family: Transfer RNA (tRNA) molecules are approximately 80 nucleotides in length. Their secondary structure includes four short double-helical elements and three loops (D, anti-codon, and T loops). The record is from Rfam by way of RNAcentral. Lineage: Bacteria; Pseudomonadati; Bacteroidota; Flavobacteriia; Flavobacteriales.
GGACAUUUAGCUCAGUUGGUUAAGAGCAAUACCUUGACAGGGUAUAGGUCAUCGGUUCAAUUCCGAUAAUGUCCA